AUUUCUGCUUGCUUGAGAUGACGAGCGGCGGACGGGUGAGUAAUACUUAGGAAUCUACCUAGUAGUGGGGGAUAGCUCGGGGAAACUCGAAUUAAUACCGCAUACGACCUACGGGAGAAAGGGGGCAACUUGUUGCUCUCGCUAUUAGAUGAGCCUAAGUCGGAUUAGCUAGAUGGUGGGGUAAAGGCCUACCAUGGCGACGAUCUGUAGCUGGUCUGAGAGGAUGAUCAGCCACACCGGGACUGAGACACGGCCCGGACUCCUACGGGAGGCAGCAGUGGGGAAUAUUGGACAAUGGGGGAAACCCUGAUCCAGCCAUGCCGCGUGUGUGAAGAAGGCCUUUUGGUUGUAAAGCACUUUAAGCAGUGAAGAAGACUCUUCGGUUAAUACCCGGAGACGAUGACAUUAGCUGCAGAAUAAGCACCGGCUAACUCUGUGCCAGCAGCCGCGGUAAUACAGAGGGUGCAAGCGUUAAUCGGAAUUACUGGGCGUAAAGCGAGCGUAGGUGGCUUGAUAAGUCAGAUGUGAAAUCCCCGGGCUUAACCUGGGAACUGCAUCUGAUACUGUCAGGCUAGAGUAGGUGAGAGGAAGGUAGAAUUCCAGGUGUAGCGGUGAAAUGCGUAGAGAUCUGGAGGAAUACCGAUGGCGAAGGCAGCCUUCUGGCAUCAUACUGACACUGAGGCUCGAAAGCGUGGGUAGCAAACAGGAUUAGAUACCCUGGUAGUCCACGCCGUAAACGAUGUCUACUAGUCGUUGGGUCCCUUGAGGACUUAGUGACGCAGCUAACGCAAUAAGUAGACCGCCUGGGGAGUACGGCCGCAAGGUUAAAACUCAAAUGAAUUGACGGGGGCCCGCACAAGCGGUGGAGCAUGUGGUUUAAUUCGAUGCAACGCGAAGAACCUUACCUGGUCUUGACAUAUCUAGAAUCCUGCAGAGAUGCGGGAGUGCCUUCGGGAAUUAGAAUACAGGGGCUGCAUGGCUGUCGUCAGCUCGUGUCCUUGAGAUGUUGGGUUAAGUCCCCCAACUAGGCCCACCCCUUGGCCUUAAGCUACCAGCCGGGUUAAGCCCGGGAACCUUAAAGGAACCUGCCAUGGACAAACUGGGAGGAAGGCGGGGGACAACGUCAAGGNAUCUCGGCCCUUAAAACCAGGGCUAACACACGGCUUCACAUUGGGAGGUAACAGAGGGGCUCUCCACACGCGAUUUGGAAUGGGAAUUCUAAAAAGCUUUUCUAGAUCUCAAAUAUGGCUUCGUACCUCUUAUCCCUUGAAAUUG
This 1275-nucleotide ribosomal RNA is filed under the name Psychrobacter alimentarius. RNAcentral's name for it is "bacterial SSU rRNA". It matches the Rfam family "Bacterial small subunit ribosomal RNA", at positions 72 to 1328 of the family's 1533-position model. Lineage: Bacteria; Pseudomonadati; Pseudomonadota; Gammaproteobacteria; Moraxellales; Moraxellaceae. The record is from RNAcentral.